UCCCUGAAGGACUAGUGGUUAGGCCACAGAGCUCUCGCCACUGCAGCCUGCGUUCGAUUCCCGGUGAGGGAA
Molecule: transfer RNA, 72 nt
Filed under: Pangasianodon hypophthalmus (striped catfish)
Lineage: Eukaryota; Metazoa; Chordata; Actinopteri; Siluriformes; Pangasiidae
Description: tRNA-Glu
Source: RNAcentral